Daktulosphaira vitifoliae (grape phylloxera) is the source of this 4795-nucleotide RNA transcript. It is a transcript of the gene named metacaspase-2-like, with no coding region annotated. The record is from RefSeq and is a predicted model, not a curated record. Lineage: Eukaryota; Metazoa; Arthropoda; Insecta; Hemiptera; Phylloxeridae. The transcript is spliced from 13 exons.
UUAUCAAAACUAACAUGCAUGUGUUUAUGUUUUCCUGUUAACCGUUAAUUUUCUCAAAUUAUUAAAACGUUACAUUAUUCUAUCAAUGUGACAUGAACUAUUAUUGUAUAUUUAUUUUUAAUUCUCAGAAUUAUAUAAAAUGGAACCUUUGUUACCUUCAGAAAUUGCACGACUUAUUUAUGGUUAUUUGAAAAAAGAAAACAAUGUCGCUACAGCUGAAUGUUUUUUGAAAACUUCUCCUCAUUUAAAAGAAUGUUAUCAAAUGUUUCUAACCAAACGAAAUUUUAAUAAUAAAGUUAAUGGAUUGAGUCUAAAUGAUGUUUUUGAUAGUUUUGGGACCAUGUGUAGUUUAAUAAAUCGUGCAACUCCUGAUGAGUAUGAAUCAAAGACAAUUGUAGAAAAAUUGCAAUAUAUUCUGGACUUGAGUUUUGUCAAAUUAUCUAUGAAAGUGGACAAAUGUAUUGAAACUGAUGACACUGAAAAUUUAGAGUGUAUAAAAGAAAAGUCAAUCCUUAAAUGCAAUCAAUUUAUCUCAGAAUCUAAUACAUUUUUAAAUGUAGUAGAUAUUUCUUCUACUGAACCAAGUCUAACUAUUUCUUUUGAAAAUAACAAAAAUGAAAAAUGUUCAAUUUCUCAUUCCACACCCUGUUCAAAUUUCAAGUCAAAACUAAAUGAUAUAACUAAUAUCGUAACAAAUGUUUCACCAGAAAUACAUAACAGUAAUAACAUUACAAUGGGCCAACAAGUUAGUCCAAUAUCAAAACCAGCAGAAGAAACAAAAAUUUACUAUACAUCACCAAAAAAUUUAAACAUUGCAAACCAAUUAUCUGUUAAAAAACCAGAAACAUUAUUACCUGAAGCAACAUCUAUUGAAGUAAUUCCAUGUAUGUUGGAAAGAGAACAAAGAGAAGAUUUAAAUAAUGAAAUACAAAUUGAUAAUGAUGAUUUGUCCGGAAAAGGAGAGAGACAACCUUGUAAAACUAUUAUACCUGAAAUAGAUUUAAUAACACCAUAUAUGAAUGACAAAGAUAAAAAAAGUUACAUUAUUCCAAAUUCUGCUAAACAUAAUAUUAAAACGAAAAAUGUAUUGGAUGAAUCUUUAGAUAACAUGAAUUCUAAGAACAAAGUUUUGGAUAAUAAUAUAAAGUCAAGAUUACGUAGUUCAAAAAAAAAAGUUAACAAUUUAAAAAAAUCAAAAUGUAAACAAAGUAUUCAAACAGAUAAAAAAAGUACUGAAAAUAUUGAUGAUCACAAUAUUUUACUUAAUGAUAACAAUGAUUCAUCUUUGUUUGACAACUUUAAUACUAAAAAUCAAAGUGAUAUUUUGCCCAAUAAUUCCUCAAGCUUAACACAAAAUUUAGCAUCUUUAAAGUCAAAAACAAAAUAUGGUAUUGUAAAUAGAAUGAAUGAUCAUUUGAAAUUUGAAAGACAUCAAUUAAAAAUAUCUGAAGUUUUACAUACAUCUAAUAACAUUGAUUCUUUUAAUUCAGUUAAAAUUCCUAAUCAAAAUAAAACUAACAAAGUAGUUAGUAAAAUUAAAUCAUCUAACAUUUCAAAUGAAUUAAUAAUGUUUAAUGAUUCUAUUUCACAUGAUACUCCUGAUGAUAUCCAAAAACCUCCAAUAACUAAGAGUAUGAGUACACCUCGUAGAAGAAGUACUCAUAUUAGAGCUCUUGACUUCAGCACUCCACAACCUAAAAAAAAUGCUAUUGAACUGGUACGAUCCAAACUAUUUUUUGACUCGCCAAAAAGAAUCCAAACAAUAUUAGAAGAAUCAUUAACAAGUCCUUUUCCAAAACUUCAAGGUAAUUGGGGAGCAAUUAAUGGUUUUGAGUCUAUUAUUAAGAAAGAUACGGGUAUAUGUUUAAAUUCAAAUACUAAAAGUACAAAUGAGAUAAAAAUAUCUGAACUGAAAUUAGUAAAAAAAAAAAAAUCUCCCAGAAAAAAUAUGACACCAAAAAGAUUAAGUAAUCAUUUAGUGAAUAAUAUAAAUCCAAUAGUUAUUCUUAACAAUGAAGAUUAUGCAAAAUUAGUUUUAACAAAAAAUAAUGUUUUAAGUCAGAAUGAUAAACUUUCUAAUUCAUUAGAAGACUCUCUUAAUAUUGGUAGUUCAAAAAAUUCUUGCCAUUUAAGUUUAAAGCAAAAUAGCCCUGUAAAAAAUAUUGAAAGUAUAGAAUUAAAAAAGUCAUUUGAGAGUUCUAGUCCUAUAAACAAUAAAAUAAGUUCAUUUUAUAAAGAAAAUAACUUUACAGAUAAAAAUAAUGAAGCAUUAAAAAUUAUACCUGCAGAUUGUAAAGUUUAUACUUUACAACAACUAUCUUAUAACAAAGUAGAUUUAUCUAGUUAUAUUAGUACACCAGAAAUAAAGAAAUCUACAAAGGAUAAUAUAGCAAAUAACAUUAUAACAAGUUUGGAGCAAUUAUUAUUAUCAAACAAUUCUAUUAAAACAAAAGAAAACAUAACUAAUCAGGCAAAUUUAUUGAAUCAGCAAAUUGAUAAUUCAAAAUCAACCUUAUUUAACACUCCAGUAAAACCUGAAAGUCCUAUUAAAAUAACUAAAUUUCCUAAAACAUCAAAUGUUGAUAAAAAAUUGGAUAAAAUAAUUAACAAGUCACAGGAAAAUAAAAAAUAUAUAUCAUCAUGUUCUAACAUUUAUUUGCCACUUUGUUCAAAUAAGAUUCAUGAAAAUGAAAAAAAUAGGUCUGUUUCUUAUGAAAAAUUAAAUAACAAGAAUUUGGAUGUUUCUGAAAUGAGUAGCCCUACUAAAUUAAACAAUUGUCAAACAACUAAACUAAGUAAAGUUCAAACUCCAUUUAAGUUCGAUGAACCUGAAACUCCAAUUUCUAAGUUAUUGCGGGAGCAUGAUCCAAGUAAUCUUGUUACACCAAUACCAUCAACACCAGUACAUAAUGAAGCAAGUAUGGAAACUCCACUCUCUAAAAUAUUUAGAGAAACUUCAUACCUAAACCGACCUCCAAUUUCACCAAUCCCUUCAACACCAGUAAACUUAAAGUCUAAUAUCUCAUCAUUGUCUCCACCUAAGGAGCAAAUUAUUACAAAUAAUCCUUUAGUUAAAAUGGCUGGUAUUAAAAGAAGAAUAAAUAAUUUGAAAAAAAAUUCUAUUCAAAGUGUUUCAGUUCAAUGUAAUCAAUCGAUACCUAGAUCACCAUCUGUCGUAAACAAGAAAUCUCCAACUUUAAAAGUCAAAUUAAAAGCUAUUCCUAAAGUAAAAAAUUCUAAAUCUUUUAAGCAUAAAAAUACUAAUGCUAUAAAAGCACAAGUAUAUGAAUCAGUAAAAAUUGAAUUAUUUGGAGGUAAUGAUUCACCUAGUUCAAAUGAUGAUGAAUUGGAAAAAUCUAUGAAUAUUUGUAAAUCAUUAAUUAUAAAUAAAAAAUAUGAAGAAGAGAGAACAUCUGGUUUCAAACCUAUUCCUCGAAGAAAACCUCUUAAAAAUGCCUCUUCAAUAAGUGAUACAAAAAAUAAUUCAAUUGGAAAUCUUAAUUUGGAACUGUCUAAUUUCUCUCCUAAACAUUCAACUAAAAAUCAUACAAACAUUUCAAACUUAUUAAAUGAUCAACAAUCAAAAAAAAAUACAAUGCUUUCCAAUACAUCUGUUAUUAAUGAUUUUAAUCAAAAAUUAACACAAGUAAAUUCUUAUCAAUUGGAAAAUUUUAAGACAAAUAAUAUUGAAACUUCAAUUAAAAGAAGCACUACAAUUCCCAAAAGAAGUCACAAUAAUAGCACCAAUAAUACAUUUAUUAAUUAUAUAUGUAAUAAAGAUACUCAAACAGAAAAGAGUAAUAAAUGUAAAGAAGAUGAUUUCAGUAUUGAAAAAUAUUUUAAAAAUUCAAUAGUUUAUGAAAUAAUUACUGAAGAUGAUGAUCAUGAGGUAAUUUAUCUCUCAUUAUCUCCUAUGUUUAUUUUUCUUGACAUUCCUUCUGAAAUUAUUUCUCAAUCACCAAUUUUACCAUGUAAAAUCAAUAAUUGCUUGAAUGACAGUUCAAAAACCGAAUCAAAUGAAAUGGAAAGUGAUGGUGAUUUUAUUGCAUCUUCAUUUAAUUCAUCUAAAAAAAUAAUGAAUAAAAAAAGACUGGAUAAACAUAAAAGGUCUAGAAGAAGCCCUUCAUUAUGGGAGGAUUCUUAUAACUGUACAUCAAAAUAUAAGACUGAUAAAAGUAAGAAUUCUUCAAACUCCUACAAAAAAUCCUAUAAAGAAGAUUCCAACAAAAUGAAAAUAACUUAUAGGUUAAAUAGAAAGCAUCAUUUUCAUAGUGAUCGUUCUCAGUCAGAAUUCAGAAGAAAAUAUCAAUCUAGUUAUAAAAAAGAUCAUCACUUUAGAGAACAAGAGACACACAAUAUUGAUAGGAACAGAAGAUAUAGUUAUCGAGAUAAUACAAAUUACCACAAUAUUCAUAAACUUAAACAUCAGUAUGAAAGACGUCAUUCUUCUAAUCAAUCGUAUCAUAGUGAUGUUAUAAAUGUAUGCAAAGAUUAUGAGUAUACUAAAAAAGCUACUAAAAGAAGAUAUUUUGAUCGAAGUGACCAUAGCCAGGUAAACAUAUAGGAAUUUUAAUAGUGAUGCACACACCUUUCCACUUAAUGAUUCCCUCAGUUAUAAAGAUAUUACAUCACGUUGACAACUGAUGUAAAAAUUCUGCCAAAUCAUUAUUAGAUUCCACAUAAAAUAACAAAAUCUGAACAUCAAAAACUACCUAAACAUGUUGAUGUGGAUGAUUUUUUAUCAAAAACUCAUGACCGAUUUUGAAGUUUUAUGCAUAUAUUGAAACAUAAAGUA